ACUCAAAGGAAUUGACGGGGGCCCGCACAAGCGGCGGAGCAUGCGGCUUAAUUCGAUGCAACGCGAAGAACCUUACCUGGGCUUGACAUCACUUGAAAACUCGUAGAGAUACGGGGUCCUUCGGGGCUUGUGACAGGUGGUGCAUGGUUGUCGUCAGCUCGUGUCGUGAGAUGUUGGGUUAAGUCCCGCAACGAGCGCAACCCUUGUCCAAUGUUGCCAGCACGUAAUGGUGGGGACUCAUUGGAGACUGCCGGGGUCAACUCGGAGGAAGGUGGGGAUGACGUCAAAUCAUCAUGCCCCUUAUGUCCAGGGCUGCACGCAUGCUACAAUGGCCGAUACAAACAGUUGCGAGACCGUAAGGUGGAGCGAAUCUGAAAAAGUCGGUCUCAGUUCGGAUUGAGGUCUGCAACUCGACCUCAUGAAGUUGGAGUCGCUAGUAAUCGCAGAUCAGCAACGCUGCGGUGAAUACGUUCCCGGGCCUUGUACACACCGCCCGU
This 497-nucleotide ribosomal RNA is filed under the name uncultured bacterium. RNAcentral's name for it is "partial 16S ribosomal RNA". It matches the Rfam family "Bacterial small subunit ribosomal RNA", at positions 899 to 1397 of the family's 1533-position model. The record is from RNAcentral.